AACGUAGGGGACAAGCGUUAUCCGGAUUUACUGGGCGUAAAGCGCCCGUAGGCGGCCUGACAAGUUGGACGUGAAAGCUCCUGGCUUAACUGGGAGAGGCCGUUCAAAACUGUCAAGCUAGAGUCUGGAAGAGGAGAGCGGAAUUCCCGGUGUAGUGGUGGAAUGCGUAGAGAUCGGGAGGAACACCAGUGGCGAAGGCAGCUCGCUGGGACGUUACUGACGCUGAGACGCGAAAGCGUGGGGAGCAAACAGG
This 253-nucleotide ribosomal RNA is filed under the name uncultured bacterium. Its description in RNAcentral is "partial 16S ribosomal RNA". It matches the Rfam family "Bacterial small subunit ribosomal RNA", at positions 524 to 776 of the family's 1533-position model. The record is from RNAcentral.